AAAAUCGGAGCAGGGUGAGUCGGCCCCUAAGGCGAGGCCGAAAGGCGUAGUCGAUGGGAAACGGGUUAAUAUUCCUGUACUUCUAAUCAUUGCGAUGGGGGGACGGAGAAGGCUACAUCAGCACAGCGUUGGUUGUCUGUGUUUAAGGUUGUAGGUGGACUGCUUAGGUAAAUCCGGGUGGUUAACACUGAGAACUGAUGACGAGCACUCCUUCGGGAGCGCGAAGUGAUGGAUGCCAUGCUUCCAAGAAAAGCCUCUAAGCUUCAGAUGAUUAGGAACCGUACCCCAAACCGACACAGGUGUCAGAUAGAGAAUACCAAGGCGCUUGAGAGAACUCUGGUGAAGGAACUAGGCAAAAUAGCACCGUAACUUCGGGAGAAGGUGCGCUGCUGGUGGUGAAGGACUUGCUCCGUAAGCUACUGGCAGCCGAAGUAACCAGGCCGCUGCAACUGUUUAUUAAAAACACAGCACUCUGCAAACACGAAAGUGGACGUAUAGGGUGUGACGCCUGCCCGGUGCCGGAAGGUUAAUUGAUGGGGUCAGCCGCAAGGCGAAGCUCUUGAUCGAAGCCCCGGUAAACGGCGGCCGUAACAAUAACGGUCCUAAGGUAGCGAAAUUCCUUGUCGGGUAAGUUCCGACCUGCACGAAUGGCGUGAUGAUGGCGGCGCUGUCUCCACCAGAGACUCAGUGAAAUCGAAAUCGCGGUGAAGAUGCCGUGUACCCGUGGCUAGACGGAAAGACCCCGUGAACCUUUACUGUAGCUUCACACUGGACUUUGACAUGAUCUGUGUAGGAUAGCUGGGAGGCUUUGAAGCUAAGACGCCAGUCUUAGUGGAGCCGUCCUUGAAAUACCAGCCUGGUCCUGUCGGGGUUCUAACGUAGACCCGUUAUCCGGGUUGCGGACAGUGUGUGGUGGGCAGUUUGACUGGGGCGGUCUCCUCCCAAAGAGUAACGGAGGAGCACGAAGGUGCGCUAAUCACGGUCGGAAAUCGUGAGGUUAGUGUAAAGGCACAAGCGCGCUUGACUGCGAGACAGACAAGUCGAGCAGGUACGAAAGUAGGUCUUAGUGAUCCGGUGGUUCUGUAUGGAAGGGCCAUCGCUCAACGGAUAAAAGGUACUCCGGGGAUAACAGGCUGAUACCGCCCAAGAGUUCAUAUCGACGGCGGUGUUUGGCACCUCGAUGUCGGCUCAUCACAUCCUGGGGCUGAAGCCGGUCCCAAGGGUAUGGCUGUUCGCCAUUUAAAGUGGUACGCGAGCUGGGUUUAGAACGUCGUGAGACAGUUCGGUCCCUAUCUGCCAUGGGCGUUGGAGAUUUGAGAAGAGUUGCUCCUAGUACGAGAGGACCGGAGUGAACGAACCUCUGGUGUACCGGUUGUCACGCCAGUGGCAUUGCCGGGUAGCUAAGUUCGGACGGGAUAACCGCUGAAAGCAUCUAAGCGGGAAGCCUCCUUCAAGAUGAGAUCUCCCUGGGGCUUUAAGCCCCCUAAAGGGCCGUCGAAGACUACGACGUUGAUAGGCAAGGUGUGGAAGCGCUGCGAAGCGUUGAGCUGACUUGUACUAAUUGCCCGUGCGGCUUGAAAAA
RNAcentral lists this ribosomal RNA (1582 nucleotides) under metagenome. RNAcentral describes it as "bacterial LSU rRNA". It matches the Rfam family "Bacterial large subunit ribosomal RNA", at positions 1365 to 2925 of the family's 2925-position model. The record is from RNAcentral.